ACUACGGGUGGCUGCAGUGAGGAAUAUUGGUCAAUGGGCGGGAGCCUGAACCAGCCAAGUCGCGUGAGGGAAGACGGUCCUAUGGAUUGUACACCUCUUUAGGCGGGGAGCAAUGCCGGGCACGUGUGCCCGGAGGGAGAGUACCCGCAGAAUAAGCAUCGGCUAACUCCGUGCCAGCAGCCGCGGUACUACGGAGGAUGCGAGCGUUAUCCGUAUUUAUUUGGUUUAAAUGGUGCGUAGGCGGAUUUUUAAGUCAGCGGUAAAUGGCCGGGCUCAACCCGGGCCGGCCGUUGAAACUGGGGAUCUUGAGUGGGCGAGAAGUAUGCUGAAUGCGUGGUGGAGCGGUGAAAUGCAUAGAUAUCACGCAGAACUCCGAUUGCGAAGGCAGCAUACCGGCGCCCGACUGACGCUGAGGCACGAAAGCGUGGGGAUCGAACAGGAUUAGAUACCCCAGUAGUC
RNAcentral lists this ribosomal RNA (459 nucleotides) under uncultured bacterium. RNAcentral's name for it is "partial 16S ribosomal RNA". It matches the Rfam family "Bacterial small subunit ribosomal RNA", at positions 338 to 795 of the family's 1533-position model. The record is from RNAcentral.